GACGAACGCUGGCGGCGUGCUUAACACAUGCAAGUCGAACGGUAAGGCCCUUCGGGGUACACGAGUGGCGAACGGGUGAGUAACACGUGGGUGAUCUGCCCUGCACUUCGGGAUAAGCCUGGGAAACUGGGUCUAAUACCGGAUAGGACCACUGCCUGCAUGGGUGGUGGUGGAAAGCUUUUGCGGUGUGGGAUGGGCCCGCGGCCUAUCAGCUUGUUGGUGGGGUGAUGGCCUACCAAGGCGACGACGGGUAGCCGGCCUGAGAGGGUGACCGGCCACACUGGGACUGGGGUACGGCCCAGACUCCUACGGGAGGCAGCAGUGGGGAAUAUUGCACAAUGGGGGCAAGCCUGAUGCAGCGACGCCGCGUGAGGGAUGACGGCCUUCGGGUUGUAAACCUCUUUCAGCACCGACGAAGCGCAAGUGACGGUAGUGCAGAAGAAGGACCGGCCAACUACGUGCCAGCAGCCGCAGUAA
Molecule: ribosomal RNA, 477 nt
Filed under: uncultured bacterium
Lineage: Bacteria
Description: partial 16S ribosomal RNA
Rfam family: Bacterial small subunit ribosomal RNA
Source: RNAcentral